CUCACGGAACUACUGACAGGGAUGAGCCUCACUGUAUGGGACACCAACUCACAGGCAGCACAGAAGCCCUCACAGGGGCAGAAGCCCUCAAGGCUGAGGACAGAUUCAAAUCCAACUCUGUCUUGAGCAUGGAAUCACUAAUAAAGCAGAUGGAAAUACAGGCAAAAAGAAAACGGAGUUGUCCGGAGCACCCUGGUAAAAAGCUUUGGUGCACCCCACGCAGCAAGUGGUCCCAGCGUACAGCCACAGUGCAAAGUGAAGUAGCUGGAAAGCCCCAGAGAAGAGAAGGGGCUGGUUUAAUGAGCGAGAAUCGUUCAUCCUUGAAGGAGACCAGCUGAAGACUUUACCGAGGCGAGCAUUACGUUUUCUUCCUGCAACAAAGAAAUUUUGAGGCUCUCUAGAACCCUCUUCUGUGUUCUGUAUUUUUGCCUAUUUCAUUUUUCUGCCUCUGAAUCUGUACAUCUCCACAAAUUUAAAAAGAAUAAAGGUGAGGCUGUGGUCUG
This 503-nucleotide long non-coding RNA is filed under the name Chinchilla lanigera (long-tailed chinchilla). RNAcentral describes it as "lncRNA (ENSCLAG00000024132.1)". The record is from RNAcentral. Lineage: Eukaryota; Metazoa; Chordata; Mammalia; Rodentia; Chinchillidae.